CAAACGACUCUCGGCAACGGAUAUCCCGGCUCUCGCAUCGAUGAAGAACGUAGCGAAAUGCGAUACUUGGUGUGAAUUGCAGAAUCCCGUGAACCAUCGAGUUUUUGAACGCAAGUUGCGCCCGAUGCCAUUAGGUUGAGGGCACGUCUGCCUGGGUGUCACGU
This 164-nucleotide ribosomal RNA is filed under the name Bupleurum commelynoideum var. flaviflorum. Its description in RNAcentral is "5.8S ribosomal RNA". It matches the Rfam family "5.8S ribosomal RNA". From Rfam's summary of the family: 5.8S ribosomal RNA (5.8S rRNA) is a component of the large subunit of the eukaryotic ribosome. It is transcribed by RNA polymerase I as part of the 45S precursor that also contains 18S and 28S rRNA. RNAcentral also lists the same sequence under 2 other names. Lineage: Eukaryota; Viridiplantae; Streptophyta; Magnoliopsida; Apiales; Apiaceae. The record is from RNAcentral.